RNAcentral lists this ribosomal RNA (77 nucleotides) under Metabacillus mangrovi. RNAcentral's name for it is "partial 23S ribosomal RNA". Lineage: Bacteria; Bacillati; Bacillota; Bacilli; Caryophanales; Bacillaceae. The record is from RNAcentral.
CCAAAGACUUAUCCAUGGGAGUCAGACUGCGAGUGAUAAGAUCCGUAGUCGAAAGGGAAACAGCCCAGACCACCAGC